GUCCACGCUGUAAACGAUGAUUACUAGCUGCUGGGAGUUUUAAACUAUCAGUAGCGCAGCUAACGCGAUAAGUAAUCCGCCUGGGGAGUACGGCCGCAAGGUUAAAACUCAAAGGAAUUGACGGGGGCCCGCACAAGCGGUGGAGCAUGUGGUUUAAUUCGAUGCAACGCGAAGAACCUUACCUACCCUUGACAUACAGAGGAUCUUGCAGAGAUGUGAGAGUGCCGAAAGGAGCUCUGAUACAGGUGCUGCAUGGCUGUCGU
RNAcentral lists this ribosomal RNA (263 nucleotides) under uncultured bacterium. RNAcentral's name for it is "partial 16S ribosomal RNA". It matches the Rfam family "Bacterial small subunit ribosomal RNA", at positions 793 to 1055 of the family's 1533-position model. The record is from RNAcentral.